GACUACCUAUAUAAAAUAUAUUAUUGACUUGAACGGGUGCGCUUUUUUUCCAUAAUUUACUACAUUUUAAUUCUGCUCCGAAUUUGGCGAAUUAAACGCGCGAUUGGAGCGCAACGUCAAAAAAAAAAGAUUUUAUACAGGUAGGUAUAACUGCAAAUGGUAUCUAUAUAAGCGGUUUUUUAUUCCAUUUAUAUUUAGACGAAAUUCGUGAUAUUCCGAGCAUUCAAGAAUCAACUGCUUAGAAUUUUAUCAAAGAAUUUUUUGUACAGAAUUUAAUUUUAAUUUGCCGAACACCGUUCUCAACAGAUAAUAUCGGUGAGUUAUAGAAUUAAAAAAUAAUUGAAUGGCAUGAUCGUCAACUUUAUGAGUAGGUAAAACAUUAGCAAGAACAUACGAAGAACAACUUAAUUUUUGAAUAUGUCAUUCAAACGUCGUGUAUUAAUGGAAAUGGAAAGUGCCCUAACGAUGUUUAUAGGUGAAUGCGAAAAUUCGUCAUUAAAGGCAUUUAACUCAUGCAAAAAAAAAACCGUCAAAUUCAUAAAUCAUUUAAUGGGUUGUAUCACGAGAGAAAGCGUGCGUGUAUACAUAUUGGGAACUUAUGAUAAAAAAAAAAUCAUUUUUUUCCGUGAAAACAAGUACGAGUAUAUCUACGGUGAAAAUUAUGCAACAAAAAAUUUUACGAGCUCAGAAAUCUACGUGCGAUGCGUCAGAUAGAAUUGUAAAUUUAAA
This is a long non-coding RNA of Aphis gossypii (cotton aphid), 729 nucleotides long. RefSeq lists it as uncharacterized. The record is from RefSeq and is a predicted model, not a curated record. The transcript is spliced from 5 exons. Lineage: Eukaryota; Metazoa; Arthropoda; Insecta; Hemiptera; Aphididae.